UACAGAGGUCCCGAACGUUGUUCGGAUUCACUGGGCGUAAAGGGUGCGCAGGUGGGUUGGCAAGUUUGAUGUGAAAGCCCCGGGCUUAACCCGGGAAUGGCAUUGAAUACUGCUGAUCUGGAGGAUCGGAGGGGGGACUGGAAUUCUUGGUGUAGCAGUGAAAUGCGUAGAUAUCAAGAGGAACACCAGUGGCGAAGGCGAGUCCCUGGACGAUACCUGACACUGAGGCACGAAAGCCGGGGGAGCAAACAGG
Molecule: ribosomal RNA, 253 nt
Filed under: uncultured bacterium
Lineage: Bacteria
Description: partial 16S ribosomal RNA
Rfam family: Bacterial small subunit ribosomal RNA
Source: RNAcentral